CUGUGAUAAUUUUGUCUAAAUGUAUAUCUUCUUUAUACUCAAAAGAUUCUAUCUAUUAGGUUACAUUUCAUAUUACCAACAGAAUAUGAAUCUAUAUUCCAUUGAUAUAUACUCUUUAAUAUUUAAACUUGCAGAUUAUCACAUAUACUCUAGUAUUUUGUAAUUCAUCAAACUUAUUCUUAUGGUUUCUAAGGGCUGUGAAAACAGUCUGAUUUGACAAUUUUGAACUAUUACAGUUUCUUUGGGAGAGCUAUGCUUCUGCAUUCCUGAGCAUAUACCUGAGAGAAGGAAUUUAUCUUCUAAUUGUCUAUGAGUCACAAGUUAAUUACAUGCCCAAAACAGUUACAUCUCAUUCAUUCAGGUCAGGUUGUGUUUCAUCUCAUAACCUCUAUAUGGUUUUUUCUGUUAAUCCUUUGUCUAACUUUUUUCUACAAGCACAACUUUCUGCUAGCUACCAUAUCUCUGUUCUCCUGAAAAAGAAAUUAGCAAUAAUUAACUUCUGGGAAUGGAAAUUAUUUACAUCAUAUCACAUGAGAUAAACUGAAAACUGCUGAAGAAUCUUAAUCAACCCAAAAAUGCUC
RNAcentral lists this long non-coding RNA (581 nucleotides) under Androctonus crassicauda. The record is from RNAcentral. Lineage: Eukaryota; Metazoa; Arthropoda; Arachnida; Scorpiones; Buthidae.